Molecule: long non-coding RNA, 660 nt
Organism: Motacilla alba alba
Lineage: Eukaryota; Metazoa; Chordata; Aves; Passeriformes; Motacillidae
Exons: 4
Source: RefSeq, a predicted model, not a curated record
GCCUUAAUUCCUCCUAAAACCCUCCCUGAGAGCUUUCAGGUGGUUGCUGGGGAGAGGUGCCUGUGAGUUAGGGUGGCAGGCCAGCCAGGCACAGGUGACAGCCCUGGGCUGAGCAGUGCCUCCAGAGAGAUUGAAGGGCUGUGGGUGCUGGUGGUGAUGGAGGAAGAGCCAUGUGCACCACCAUCCUGAUCCUGGGUCCACUGGUCCUCAUGCUGCGGCGCCGCUUCUGCAACAAAGUUGAACCGCACUCCGAGGGAGAGGAGGAGAUCCGGAGAGAGGCUGCCUCUGAAGCUCACGCCACGUAACAGCGCUUCGGAGCGAAGGCCAGGAUUUAUUGGUUUUCCUGCCUAUUUGGUGAGGCUGUGAAGUCUCAAGAAAAGUGUCUUGCUCUGGAGAAAGGAAAUUAAACCUGGAAUGGCUGGAUUGGAAUGGAAAACCUCAUUUUUCCAUUACUUUCAAUAGCAUUUCAGUUUCCAGCUCCCCUGCGCUCUGCAGCCGGCACCGAGCACAUCUCAGCCUCAGCACCUGCUGAAACCCUCAGAAAGCAACCCGUGACAGCAGCAAACCCACGUCACCCAGCUCAGGGAGGGCCAGGCUCUGGGCUAAAUGCUGGGCCAGGAAGGAGAUUUGCCUGUCUGAGGCUGAGCCCUGGGUGGUGGC